CAGCAGCCACGGGAAUACGGAGGGAGCUAGCGUUGUUCGGAAUUACUGGGCGUAAAGCGCGCGUAGGCGGUUACUCAAGUCAGAGGUGAAAGCCCGGGGCUCAACCCCGGAACUGCCUUUGAAACUAGGUGACUAGAAUCUUGGAGAGGUCAGUGGAAUUCCGAGUGUAGAGGUGAAAUUCGUAGAUAUUCGGAAGAACACCAGUGGCGAAGGCGACUGACUGGACAAGUAUUGACGCUGAGGUGCGAAAGCGUGGGGAGCAAACAGGAUUAGAUACCCCUGUAGUCCCUGUCUCUUAUAC
This 301-nucleotide ribosomal RNA is filed under the name uncultured bacterium. RNAcentral describes it as "partial 16S ribosomal RNA". It matches the Rfam family "Bacterial small subunit ribosomal RNA", at positions 509 to 807 of the family's 1533-position model. The record is from RNAcentral.